UGGGAGUCAUCCGUUGCGAGAGUCCUCAUAACUGAAUUUCUAAAACAACGACUCCUCCUGAUUGCCCUAGCAAAAAAACUAGUGCCCUGAUUUCCUUCACGGAUCCCGUCGAUAUGAGAGUGUUGUCGUAAAUCCAAUUCUUCCAUAAUCCGCAAUUCAGAUAGUUGAUCCUUUAGUUGAGCGCAGUCUUGCUGUAACAAGGUAUUAUCUGAAUCGUUGAGUAGAGUUUUCACUGCUGAAUUUAAUUUGGUAGAAACUUCUCUUAAUUUAAUUGAUGGAUUGCCAUGAAGGAAAGAUCAGUCCUUUAUUGUUGUUUUAACUAUCUUUAAUUUCUUUUGAAGUAUGAACAUUGGAG
RNAcentral lists this long non-coding RNA (355 nucleotides) under Zostera marina. Its description in RNAcentral is "long non-coding RNA (ZMAR_LNC000155)". Lineage: Eukaryota; Viridiplantae; Streptophyta; Magnoliopsida; Alismatales; Zosteraceae. The record is from RNAcentral.